This 227-nucleotide unclassified non-coding RNA is filed under the name uncultured fungus. RNAcentral describes it as "sequence contains ITS1, 5.8S rRNA gene". The stretch from base 179 to 227 matches the Rfam family "5.8S ribosomal RNA", at positions 1 to 49 of the family's 154-position model. Lineage: Eukaryota; Fungi. The record is from RNAcentral.
UCUCCGUAGGUGAACCUGCGGAGGGAUCAUUACUGAGUGAGGGCUCACGCCCGACCUCCAACCCUUUGUGAACCAAACUUGUUGCUUCGGGGGCGACCCUGCCGUUCGCGGCGUGGGGCCCCCGGUGGACCACCCAACCCUGCAUCGUUGCGUCUGAGUCGAAAUAUAAAUCAAUCAAAACUUUCAACAACGGAUCUCUUGGUUCUGGCAUCGAUGAAGAACGCAGC